This 6850-nucleotide long non-coding RNA is filed under the name Brassica napus (rape). Its description in RNAcentral is "long non-coding RNA (BNAP_LNC020131)". The record is from RNAcentral. Lineage: Eukaryota; Viridiplantae; Streptophyta; Magnoliopsida; Brassicales; Brassicaceae.
UACAUACAUCGAAAGACAUACCCAACGAUGUGAAAACAUACAUGAUUAAUGGUUUACUAUUGUACACCAUUGAUUUAUUCUGUCACAAACUCGAAAGGUGCUCGUAAUUUAUUCAUAAAAGCAAAACACCCCCAUUUAUUUAUUACUAUAACACAUAAAAAGACAGGCUUACAUAAGAACCCGUUAGUUGACACCAUUGACAGCUUUGCGUGGAGUUUCACCUGAAAUGGAGUGGCGAUCACAAAAGCUCUCCAAUCUAUCAAAUGCAUCCUCCAAAGUUGGAGUAUCCAUGUCAAUAGAAUGCCUCACCCAGUUCUUCAGAAUAAAAGCAAUCCCUAAACCAAACCAUCACACAAUAUAUAAGUUGUUUUGUUAAAAUUAUCAAACAGGAAAAAUGAUUGUCUCCCCUGGUAGACCGCUAAACCUUGGACAUAGAUAAUGAAUACCUGGCAAAAGGACGAGGUUUUCCUCAGUAGCUAAUUUUUCACAGAAAUCGUCAUCAUCUUCAAUAUCCACAAAGGAUGAUAAGUUCAGCUCGGUCUGCGAGUAGAAAAGAAAAAAAAAAUUUAAAGAACACAAUUAUAAAGAGAAGGUUAUAAUAAGUUCUAAAGAUACAUAGUAAUGAUAGAAUACCCAGAAGAAGGUGCACGCUGCAGGUUUCAUGUAGCAGGUGAGGGAAGGUAUGCUCUUGAGCUUAUAAUAUGCAAGAUCGGUUUUAUCUUUCAGAAACAUCCGCCUACAUAAUACAAAUCUGACACAUUAGCUAUAUAAUUGAUAAUAAUAGGAAUAGUCCGUAACAUUUUAUUUUAUAAGGUUACAGAAAGUGUCCGAAUCAAAAAGUCUCGUACCUGGAUAACAGUUGGUGGUUUAGAAUUUAGAUCAAGGAACUGUUUUAUAGCAGCUAAAACCUGUCCAUAAGAUUAGGAAAAAAAGUUAAUAAGAACGAACGUUGAUAACUCUUAAUAUCAAACAUAGUACAUGCAUAGUGAAUAAUGAUACAUAUUAUUCAUAUAUAUGCUUAAAGAUUGAUGGAGAAAAAUAGACCGGACAUUUUUGGAUUUAAAGACACCAUCUAGGUCGUGAAGCGCGAUCCAGCCAGUUCGCCAUCCAGGGACAGACCAUCCCUUCGAUAUGGACCCGAGUGUAACCACCGGUACAAUGGACGAAAAUUUGCCCAUGGGAACGAAGGGAUUACUCCCAAACACCGACCAACGAAAAACUUCGUCAGAAACAACCAUUAUCCCGAGUUCUCGAGCCAACACAGCGAGCUAAGAUUCAUUAAUAUACACACAGUCAAAGGAUUAUAACAUAUGGCCAUGCGAAUACUUGUAUAGCUAAUUAGAGUAUAGGUGAAAAUACCUGCUUGAGAUGAGCUUCAGAGUAGGUGUUCCCGUUGGGAUUGUGCGGGUUUAUUAUAAAUAUUGCGAAUGUGUUCUCAUCCGCUGCCGCUCGGACGCUGUCAAGGUCAAUCUAAUACUUCUCUUCGCGAAGAAAUUCGUAAUUGCGGACCUCAAGGUGCUUGAAGAUGGAACGGAUUAAGUUACUUGGGUAGCCUGGCUUGGGAAGCAAGAUGUUGGCAUUUGGUUUAGCCAAUGUAUCAACGGCAAGCUCGAUGGCUUGUUUGCAUCCAACGGUCAUAAACACGUCAUCAGGUGACAGUUUCUUCGGAAGAUCUCUGUUUAGGUAAUCUGCUACAGCCCUGAGAAAAGCAAAAAUUAUGGGACACUUUUUUGUCAAAGAGGUCUAAAAUUAAUAAACUAUGCUACUAUAAUUCUAUGUAUGUAUAUAUCACCUUUUUUCCUUUUAUUUCCUUACGUAGUUGUUUAUUUUUGGAUGAUUACUCUCGUUACUACUAGUGAGAUUAUAUAGUACAAGUUUUUACACUUUUUCUUAUGAUAGUUUAUACUUCGCGUGGUUAUAUAAGAAAAGAAAGGAACUAAAUGCAUCUCGAGUCCCAACAUGUUAGAACGUUUCCUCUAAACACGGUAAGUACAAAAUGUAAAACUGUCGAUGGAAAAUAGGUCAUUUAUAUAAAAUAUAUUAUCAGACAAUGAAAAAUCACGUGCUAUUUGGAUUUUCAAUUAUACUAGGUGAUAUUAUAUAAUAUAGUACCAAACUUAUUUUCUUUCUAUCUGUAGUUCUUACCAUCAGUGACGGCCUCUACACUUUACAUUUUGCUUAUGAUGCCGUGCGUCACCAUCAACACAUAUAAACGCAAGACUUAAGAACAAUCCUAAUGAUUUGAGACGUGAGUUAGAAGAAACAACGGAAUAUUUUUUUUGUUUCGUCGUGUUUUUAGCUUUCGUCUAUACACUGUAAAUCGUGAGGAUAAGUUGGAAUAACCUAUCGCCACGAUACAUAAACAUUUAUCAGUUAACAGUAGUUGUUAUAGUUCCGUAGUUAUAUAUGAUGACUAGCAACUUUAUCGACUUGUUUUAACAAGUUAUGUUAAUAAGUUAUAAUUAUGUGUAGUGUUAAAUCAAUACCAUAGAUAAUUGUGAUUUUUUUUUUCUUUUUGGUAUUAAACCAUGUAUUACGUAACAAACAACAUACCAGCUACCAAAUUAUGUAGGGUAAUUUUCAUAUUUACCACUUUCUUAAUACCCUUAUUCAUGUUUACCACCACUAAAAAUACAUUUUCAAAAAUAUUUUUUUCACUAAGUGACAAAAGACUAUUAUAUCAUUCCUCUUUGUAUAUAUAAUAAAUAAUUAUUUAAAUAAAUAAAAAAUAAAAAAUAAAAUAACAAAAAAUAAAAAAAUAUUUUUUUUAUGUUUUCGAGUUAUACUCUUUCAAAUUCGAACUUUAUUAUAAAUUUCUUUUUUUUUGAAUUUUGUGUUUUGAUUUUUUUUUCAAAAUUUCUUUUUGAAACUAUUUUUUAUAUUUUUUAAGUAUUUAUUUAUAUAUUUAUUAGAAUCCUAAAUUUCACAUUCCAAAAACCAUACCUCACCCAUCAACUCUAAAACCGUAAGACUACAUUAGUUAAUCCUAGGAUUAUAAAUGUCUUUUAUUCUUCAUUAAAAGUUAUGAUAAAAGUGGUGGGUGUAAACAUGAAAAAAAUAUUAUGAAUAUGGCAUUUUUGGUGAUUUUCCAAUUAUAUAUCGCUUAACAAAUUAUGUAUCAAACAAUGUAUCAACUCACAAAUAACGUAUCAACUAACAAAUUACUUAUCAAACAACAUAGCUAACACAUUAUAAAUCAAACAAUGUUUCAAUCACAAUUUUUGUUUUCACAUUUCGUCUAUCACUAAACCCAACGAGGAUAUUAACCUAAUUAUGCCUUCUUUUUUGUAUAUACAAUAAAUUCUCUCAAAAUUUAAUGGUUAGCGUUAUGCUGGAAACAAGAAGAAAACUACGACGUUCUAAUCUCCUAGAGACAUAAAUGUUCAUUUUUCUCAACGACCCUAAUGCAAUAUAAUAUAAACUAGAUUAAGACCCGCACCUUGCGCGGGAUAAAAAUUAUAUAUAUAAAUUAUUUUAUGUAUUAUAUGUUUUUACAUAUUAUGAAAUAAUAAAUAUAUAUUAAAUAAUUAAAAGUCAGUAACUAUUACAUAUAUAAUAAAAUUGAUGCGAACGUAUAAAUCAAUUUUAUUAAUACAAACAAUUUUUUAAAAAAAUUUGAUAGGAUAUGUAAUUAAAUUUAAAUGAUAUUAACAUACAUAGUAUAUUUUUAAUAUUAAUGUCUAUUUUUUUAAUGGUGUUUUCUACUCAUAUGUUUUUUUUGAUCAUGUGUAUCUUUAAUAGCAAAAACUUUAAAUUACUGAUAACAAAAUUUUCAUUGUGGGACUAAUAAUUUUAGUAAUUGAUAAUUUAAAAAAAUUUAUCAAUGUUAGUUCAAAACUUUUAUCAAAAAAAUUAUUCAAAGUAAAUUUUGAAACUAAAAUAUUUAUUUAUUCAAUAUGGUUUAUAGUUUAAUUUAGAAUGAUAUAUAUAUACAUAUAUAUUUUAAAUCUUAAUGAUUAAUUAAAUUAGACUUUUACUUAUAUGAUUUUGUAAUCAUUUGUAUUUUGUCAUAACAAAAAUUUUAAACCAUGGAUCGCAAAAUUUGAAUGUGAGACUUUUAACAAUUUUAGUAAUUUAUAGUCAUUUUUUAAAAUUCAAAAUAUAAAAUAUACAGAAAAAUCUAAAUUUUUAUAAUAUGGUUAUUUUGUUUUUUUUAAAGUUAUUUUAAUAGUUUUAAAUUAAACAAAUUUGAUAGAGGAUACAUUUUUUUUAUCAGAUUUUUUUUAUUCAAAAUCAUUAAUUGUCAUAUAUACUUUACCCACAUUAGGCAAUUCCUUAAUCUUUAUUUAAGAAAAUAAUAAUUGACAUUAAUAAUGAAUUUAUGGUUAGUUUAAUAAAAAGUUUAUUAUAUAAUUAGAUGGACCAACCUAUUUCUCUAGUAAUUCUAAGAGUCAUCCUAGUGAUGACAUGUGGCUACAAAAAGAAGUUGUAAUGUUUCACAAAUAAUAUAUAGGGGAUUUGAAUAUACAUAUCCAUACACCAAACCUUUUCUAGUAAUUCCAAAUAUACCGGUUGGGUUUGGCUUUUCUAUGUUAGUGAUUACUGAUUUUUUUUCAUUGGCAAUUUAUUAUAACAACAUUACCAAAAAAAAAAACAUAACAAACCUAGAACCCGAAGAAGAGAGGUUACAUAGAGCCAACUGCAUAGAGCUUUAGCCCAACACAGAGCACCGUCGACCGGAGAAGGUGUAGAGAUAAUGACCUUUUUUUUCUCUCUCGAUUUAUUUUGUUUUUUUUUCUUGUGCUUUAAUUAGGUUAACUAGAUCACGAUCCGCGCAACCGCGCGAGUUUUUGUUUUCAAUUAUUUUUAUAUAAAUAUUUUAUUUUCAAUUCUAAAUUGGUAUAUAUUAUAAUAUGUAUGUGUCUAUCAAUUUUUAAAACAUAAUAAGUUUACUGUAUAUUUUUUUCAUUGAAUACAUUGUUUCAAACUUUCACAUGUAUUUGUAUCUUCUUCUAUAUAUAUUUUUUCGGAUUAUUAUUUCAUUAUUAAAAUCGUAACUAUAUAUAUAAAGAUUAGUAAAAUAUUGUUUUAUUGUCAUAUUCAAAGAUAUUGUAACAUUUCACAUAUUUAGAAAGUUUUUAAAAAAUUAAACUUUUAGCUUCAUAGAUUUAUAUUAUCGAGUAAAUAAUUAAACAUUUAGUUUUUGUUUAAUUUUUAAAAUAAACUAUAUAGUUUAAAAUUUGUUUUCAUUGGUUUAAGGUAGUAAAGAUUAAUCAUUGUUAGAUAAUAUGAUUUUUUUUUUAAAAAAAAAUGUUUAUAAUUUUAAAAGUUAACAUCGACAAAUAUUUAAAUAUUUAGCAUAUAGAGGUAUAGUAUUACAACAUUAAAUUAUAUCUAUUUAAUUUAUACUAUCUAUAAAUCCAAUAGAUCAUCUAUUGUUUAAAUCCAAUUACUGAUAGCCAAUAAAAAAUUUUGAUAUGCCCAAAAUUUAAAUGAUAAGAUUAGAUAUUAAAUGUAACAUUACUUUAUAAGAAUAGGUCCAUUAGAUCCAUUUUUUAAAAAAUCACACAUGAAUCAAGGUUGUGACUUAUGUUUUAAUAUAUAAGAUGUUUAUUGAUUAGUCUAACUACUUAAAAUAUAUGAUCUUAUGUGACAACUGAAAACAGGUCAUGUGGCGGUAACGAAAAACCUGAUGCGCCAUUAUAUGAGAUGUGAUAAUUAUUGUCCUAGAUGUGGUGAACCAAAAGAAACUGUUAUUCAUGCCAUAUUUGAAUGUCCUUCAGUUCUGCAAGCAUGGUCCCUAUCAACAACACCAUCUAGCCCUAACACCUUCCCGCUACCAAGUAUUUAUGCCAAUAUGGACUAUCGUUUUUGGAGAAAGAAUAGCAUCGUUGAACCAUAAUUAGACAUGGAUCCUUAUCACUUGAUAAUUUGGUAUACGUGGAAGGCUCAGAACGAUAAACUCUUUUGAGGGAUAGACGUGGAUCCUUUGGAGCUAGUCCGACAUGCGGAAAGUGAAUGUCAAGCCUGGUUCAAUGCAAAUGAAAUGGUAGCCCACAUUCCACAAGAGCAGAAUAUUAAGGAUUCCCAAGUCAUAAGCUUGGAUAAUAUAUGUAUAGUGGAUGGUUGGGUUUGGGUAGAUAACUUGGGAAAUAUUCAACUUAAAGAGACACAGAACUUAAGACGGCGAGAGACUAACAUUCAGAAAUGGAAGCACCGCGAUGGACAAAUUAAGGAGAGUAUGCUUCAACAUUCGUCAUGUCAGAGCUCCAGGACGGAUUGCAAGGAUCUGAUCUCGAUGAUAAAGGAGCUUCACGCUUAGCCAAGUUUUACAACAGAACUGGAGGCGAUAAAGACGCUGCUGAUAUGUUUUUCGGACUUCAAGAUAUCUUAUAUCCUGAGAGCGCAAAAGAGAAUUUCUCACUCUUUAGCUAGGACUGUAAGAUAUUUUUAUUGUGAGCUUUUUUAUAUUGGUUGUUCUAUUCCGGUCUGGUUACCAAGACCUCAAGUUUGAGUAAUAGAAUAGCCCUUCGAGAAAAAAAAAAUAUAUAUAUAUAUAUAGAUUUUGAAACUUUUUUCUCCUCACACUUGUAAGAGAGAUAAUGAAUGAUUUUGUAAUAUGUCAUAUACCGAUAUAUUCUAAUGAAAACAAGCUGAAUUUUAUUCGUUUAUAAAAAGUACAAAGACAUACAUACAUCGAAAGACAUACCCAACGAUGUGAAAACAUACAUGAUUAAUGGUCUACUAUUGUACACCAUUGAUUUAUUCUGUCACAAACUCGAAAGGUGUUCAUAAUUUAUUCAUAAAAGCAAAACACCCCCAUUUAUUUAUUAUAUCAUAGCAUAUAAAAAGACUUAGGCUUACAUAAGAACCCUUUAGUUGACACCAUUGACAGCUUUGCAUGGAGUUU